This 343-nucleotide unclassified non-coding RNA is filed under the name soil metagenome. RNAcentral's name for it is "partial contains 5.8S ribosomal RNA, internal transcribed spacer 2, and large subunit ribosomal RNA". The stretch from base 1 to 120 matches the Rfam family "5.8S ribosomal RNA", at positions 35 to 154 of the family's 154-position model. The record is from RNAcentral.
GAUGAAGAACGCAGCGAAAUGCGAUACGUAAUGUGAAUUGCAGAAUUCAGUGAAUCAUCGAGUCUUUGAACGCACAUUGCGCCCGCUAGUAUUCUGGCGGGCAUGCCUGUCCGAGCGUCAUUUCAACCCUCAAGCCCCCGGGCUUGGUGUUGGGGAUCGGCGAGCCUCCGCGCCCGCCGUCCCCUAAAUCUAGUGGCGGUCUCGCUGUAGCUUCCUCUGCGUAGUAGCACACCUCGCACUGGGAAACAGCGCGGCCACGCCGUUAAACCCCCAACUUCUGAACGUUUGACCUCGGAUCAGGUAGGAAUACCCGCUGAACUUAAGCAUAUCCAUAAGCGGAGGA